AUGAUGCCCAGAAAACUUCAAGAUACUGCCGACCUAAGAGGCCAGUACUUUUCAUCUUACAACCUCCCAGAGCGUGUGAGGAACUGGGAUCAGAACUCUCCACCGACAUCCCUUGAGAAAUGUCGCCAGUGGAGGGAGCGGGGCAGACAAUGGGAUAAACUUUUGCCCCGACUGCUCCGCGUUUACAGACACCCCGAGGCUGGCACCCUACCGCUGCCACCGCCGCCGCCGCGCAUAGCUGCUGGAAGCCCCGACAGCAGGGGCUUGUGCGAGAGCCUGCGCAUCUACCUCGGGCUGCUGGGAGGGAGGGAGGGAAGGCGAGCGGCGAGCAGCCCCUCUCUCCUCCUUCGGGAACCGAAGCCAAAUCUCACGCACGAGCAGUUCCGGGUGCUCCAAAACUUGUUCGCGAAGUACCCGGAGAAAGAGCGCGGCGGGCUGGGCGAGCCCCAGCCGCUGCCGAGACGCGGUGUCCAAGCCUGCAAGCGACACCGGCGUCGGGUGGGCGCCCCGGGGAGCCCCGAACGGGCGGCCGCACCUGCUGUCACUCCCGCGGCCGGCCGCGGCGGACCAGGCCUGCGGCCCGCACUCCCCCGCAGCCUCCGCGGCCCUCCCGCCGCCCGGCCCCGCUCGGCUCAGCCCCGCUCGGCUCCGCUCCGCUCCGCUCCCCGCCUCAGGCCGCACUCGGCCGCGUCCCCUCAGCCACGAGCUGCGAGGCUCCGUAGACUCACCGGGCCUCCCUCGCCGCGGUGCGGCCGCUCCCGUCUCCCCGCCGCUCCCGCGCUACCCCCGGGCGUUGGGCGCGGGCCGCGGGGCGUCCGCAGUAACGGGCCCGCGGAGGGCGGCGGCGCGCGGAGGGCGGGGCGGGGCGGGGCGGGGCGGACCCGCAAGCCUGGCGCCCGCCGUGGCCGGCCGGCGCGCGGGACUUCUUUGCCGAGGGUCGCAGCGCGGCGGACGCUGACGCCGAGGAGAGGUCCGCGGGGGACGGACUGCGGAGGACCAGAACCACCUGCUGGAGGAGCCGCGCUACGGGGGCCGCGCAGGGUCCAAACGGCUCGCGUAGGCGGCGGCUCCGCGGUCCUCGGGGUCGCGGAGCCGGGAAGGUGGGAGGCCUUCCGGGAGGAGGCUUAGGCCGCCGCGGGCGGCGCGCGGCGGGAUCGCCAGGCUGUGGGGAGGCCCGGGGGCGGAGGCGGACCUCCAGUCGGCGAGGGAGGGCGGUGCUGCACGAGAUGCAAACAGCCGGACGGCCUUGGGUUCCCGCGGGAGCACCUCCGGGGCCGCUUUAGUUUUGCAAAGUUAAGCGGCUUACCGGCAAACCCGUCCGCUACCGCCCAGCCGUGCGGGCUGCCCGGCGAUGUCCCGCGCGAGUCACCGCCGCGGGUGUAGACGUGGGGGACACAGUGGGGAGCGAAGCAAAGAAUCGCAGAAGACGCCAGAUCACCCUAGGGCCCGGUGGAAAAAGAGAAUGUUACUCGGGAUCCGAGGACUGCGAGCAUCUUUGGGGCAGCGCGAGGGAGGAGGCUUUUGGAUUUGGCCUGGGAAGAGGUGGGGUUUUGCGGGGAGACCUCGGGGCCUUGGAUGGAGGCCAUUGGACGCUGCGUUCCACAAUGAGAUUGGAGGUGUUGACAAGUGGCAGAGACGACUGAAAAAUGAGGGAGGGGGGCGGCGGUGGUGAGGGAUGGCUGAGUUCCAAGAGUAAGGAUUGAUGUUUAAGGCAAUAUUUGAUGUUUUAGGAUUUAGAAGUUUGAAGGAAGAAAUGAAGGCUUUUUUUGCUUUGUAACUCCUGCAGAUGUUAGAGAUUGAAAACUGGCAGUCCUGUGUAGACCAGGCAGACGGUAAUAACAGAUGAGCUAUGGGGGGGCGGGGGGGGCGGUGAGGACACACGGCUAUGAGCCCCCAACACUUGGCAAGCUGAUCAGAAAGUGAGUCCAAGGCCGGUGGCUACACAGAAAGAUUGAUCCGGGGGUCGGGGCCAAGAGGAUGGGGCAAGACAAGAUAAAGGAAGGCAGGAAGAAUUUUAAAUGAUUGAGAAGUGAUGUGGAGGUGCAUUCUACAGGAUUUGAACAUCUGAUUGGGAAGGGAGAAAUGAGGUCUUGAGACCCGGUUGCUUGUAAGAGGGAGCGUGAACACUUGGAAGAGGAGGAUGCAGCUACUUACCGGUUUUCAUAGGACUGGGGUUGAAGGCAGCUAAAUAGGUGGCCAUAAGCAGUUGAAGCAGUUCUAAAACAGCUGAAAGAACUGCACCUGGACAGUACACUGGGUGCUGGGGAAUAGUUCAGUCGAUAGCUUGAGUUCUAGCCCCAGAAUAAAUGUAAAAGCUCCCAGCGUGGUAUAUCAAGCUCUGGUCCCAAAGAUUAGCGGGCAGAAACAGGUGGAUCCCUCGGUCUUGUUAGCUACCCUCCCACUCUCCACAAAAAGAUAGCACCUGACAAAUGAUAACCACACCCCCUCCCAGCAUGUGCAUGAACAACACACACAAGGAUCGGAAACUCCUCAGCUUAGUAGCGUAUUGCUAUAAGAGAAGGGGGCAGACUCAGUCUAGAAAUACAUCAUCAUUAGAGUCUUGCUACCCCAAAGUUGACCACAUGUGUGUCACCAGCAAGUUUGUCAGAAACGUGUGGAUCUCGGGCCUAACACACACCUGCCCAUUAGAAUCUGCAACCUCAAAGAAAUUCCAAGAGGUGACCCCAUCAGAUUUUGGGAAGCUCAGCUCUAGAUGAGGAAAGUCAACAGAGGAGGGGAGGGUGGGCAGGGAGGAAGAGAGGGACACUUGGGUAAGGCACCACAGCAGGGGACUUCAGUCUCGUCAAAGCUGGGCCAGGGAGUGUGGGUCAGAACCACACACCGUGGAGGGUGCGGGAAAACCACGUGUGUGGGUUGUGACUGGCUGCCACGAUCACAACAACCGUGUUUUCACUGAGGAGGGCUUUAGAGACUCUUACUUUCGGGCUCGGGGUUGCCUAGAGACAGUCCUAGCCCUGCUCACACACUCAGGGCAUGUUGAAGUAAGUGGGUGGAUUGAUAGAUCAAGAACAAAGUGUCCCCAGAGCAAGGUCAGCUAAUCGUUUAUCACAACUCGUGCCCCUGAACACAGACUCCUUUUCUCAGCCCCCGCGGGUUAAUGCUCCUGUGCACUAUUUCCCAUAGAAGAUGAGCAGGAACUGUGCCUGCCACUGCCAGGUAGGACCCUUUACCUCCUCCAGGUAUCCCCCGGAAUUGGCAGCACCCCAGCAACGGGCCUGGAGGAAGAGCUUCCCCUUCUGAAGGGAACAACGUGGAUUUGCAUGGACUCAGGCGUGGUAGGCUGGAAGGCCGAGGGAGGAAGGAGCAUCUAGAAGUACCGUAAAGUUGGAGCGAUGGCUCAGUGGUUGAGGGUAUUUGCCACUCUUCAGAGGACCUGUGUGGGUCUGAUUCGCAGCACCCCCAUGAUGGCUCACAAACACCUGUAGCUCCAGAUCUUGUGGCCAUGAGUGCGGUGCACAGAUACCUGCAGGCAGGCAUCUGCAAACAUAAAAUUGAACAUAUAGUAAGGCUUCUAAACUGGUGCAUUUGACCGGGUUGUUUUUUUUUUUUUUUUUUUUUUUUUAGAACCUGGGUCCUAUAGGGAAUAUCCUAAACACAGCACAGUUGAGUAGGGUGCACGUGAAAACGAAUCUGUAGCUGUUAGUAAUGCCAGGGUGCCGGAAGUGGGCCUGGGAAGGACUGAGUGCUGCACCUCAGAUCCUGAGGGCUCCCAAGAGGUAAGUCUGGUAAAGGCUUGGUGCACAGCACCUCUGGGGGUAGCUUCAAAAGAUGAGUGGACUCUGGACCCUACUUCAGUCUUUGUUGUUGUUGUUCCUUUCUGGCUGUGGAGUGAGCAGCUUAGGGCUUAGCUCCCUGCCACGGUGCUCCCCACAGGCCUCAAAGCAAAGCCAAACACCAGAGCACAGGAAACUUUGAGUGAGCUAGAACUAAUCUCUCUUCAAAAGCUGACCACCACCCGCAGUGGUGCUUUAAUCCCAGCACUAGGGAGGCAGAGGCAGGCAGAUUUCUGAGUUCGAGGCCAACCUGGUCUACAGAGUGAGUUCCAGGACAGCCAGGGCUAUACAGAGAAACCCUGUCUCGAAAAACCUAAAUAAAUAAAUAAAUAAAUAAAUAGAAGCUGACCACCUCAACUUCUGUUAUGAUAAUAGCUGAGUACCGGUGAAGGACCACACGGUCCAAGGUCCUUGGAAGAGAGGAAAGGGUCAAAGAAUUGAGAAGCAGAAAGGGCUUUGAAAGGAAUAGCCUCGUUAUAUUGUUUGUAUGUAGCCACGCACUGUCUUGGCUCACACCACACCACACCCAACAGUGGUCCAUCUCCUAAGAUGGAGUUGCAGGGUGCUGGCCAGGGAGGGGCAGAUCCUGUACUUAGAGGAGGUGGAGGCAGGAGGAUCAUGAGUUUGCUGCCAGUCUAAGCUACAAAGAGAAUUUGAGGCAAUCGAGACUCUGUCUCAGAGAAGUAAAAAUCCACGCAAACAACAUCAGCCAGCUAAGGAAAUGUUGUCUAAUGACAUCCGGCUGCCUUCGUCUGUGUUAGUGGCCUCUGCGCCAUGCGGUGACUGAGUCAGCCCGCUGAGUGGCUUUCAGAACAUAUCCUUGUCACUAUGAAAUACCAGACUCUCCCAUGCGUGUGACUAUAUAAAAGUUUCCCUUUGCUCCUAAAGCCCCCAUGUUAAAGGCUUUGUUGUUAAGGCAGCGCUGGUGGCUUAAAGAGGUAGGGCCUGGGGGAAGGCCCUUAGGCCAAUGGCAGCAGCUCCUGAAGGCGGUGGAAUCCCAGACCUCCCCUUAUUUAGUCUUGUCCUGGGCAAUGAAGUGAGCUUUACUUGGUAAGUGCUCCUGUCCAAAUGCAACGGGGCCUGCCAGUCAGCCAGCCAGUCAGGGACCUCCAAAACUGAGCCAAAAUUAAUAUGUACUCUUUGUAAGUUGUCUGAGUUAGGUACUUUCCACUGUAACACAAAGCUGAUUAGCAUGGAGUGGGAACCAGCUAACCCAAAGGAAGAGAUCUCUAAAUAUGAAGUUUGCUUCACUGUGGUGAGGAGUGUAAGUCUUCUUUUAAUCUCUUACAGUGAAGCUUUCCACACGAUCAGAGAUUUUGUUAGAUUUCUGUCACUGACUCUCUAGUAUAGGUAAACUCUCAAGGAUGUGAAUGUCAUUGGAAGAAGCCCCUUGCAUGCAAGACCAGCCUCCGUGGACAAACAGGCAAAGUUAAAAGGAUAAGAUAGUGUAUAGAACUAGUACCUAGGCAUAACAAGAUAUAUGUCAGGUUUUUAUUUUUUAUUUUUAUUUCAAAUGCAUGGGCAUUCUGCCUACAUGUGUAAGGGCACCCAAUCCCCUGGAGCUGGAGUCACAGACAGUUGUAAACCGCCAUGUGGUUGCUGGGAAUUAAAUCAGGGUCUUCCAGAAGAGCAGCCAGUGCUCUUCACCACUGAAUUGUCUCUCCAGCACCAAGAUGUCAGGCUUUUUUUUUUAACUAAAAUUAAUUUUUAUUUUAUCAUUUUAUGUGGAUGGGUUUUUGGAUACAUCCACGUAUUCAGUACCCUCAGAGUCCAGAACAGUGUAUUGGAUCUGUGGAACUGGAGUUACAGAUGGUUGUAAGCCUCCAUGUGGGUACUAGGACUUGAACCCUGGUCUUCUGGAAGAGCUGUGUCCUAGUUAGGGUUGCUAUUGCUGUGAUGAAUCACCAUGACCGAAAGCAACUUGGAGAGGAAAGGGUUUGUUUGGCUUAUAUUUCCACGUCACUUCAUCAUUGAAUUCAGAACAGGAACUCAACCAGGGCAGGAACCUGGAGGCAGGAGUUGAUGCAGAGGUCAUGGAGGGAUGGAUGUUACUUACUGGCUUGCUUUCCCUGGCUUGCUCAGCCUGCUUUCUUAUAGAACCCAGGACCACCAGCAUAGGGAUGGCACCACCCACAAUGGGCUGAGCCCUCUCCCAUCAAUCACUAAUAAGAAUGCCCUACAGGCUUGCCUAUAGCCUGAUCUUACUGGAAGCCUGAUCUUGCUUGACUAUAGCUCGUGUCAGACUGGCAUAAACUAACAAGUUCAAGCAAGUCCUCUUAACAGCUGAGCCAUUUUUCCAGCCAAAAUCUUAAAUAUUCUGACUUCCUUCUGCUUUAUCCAGGAAAUUAUCACAGAGAAGUACUCCAUGCAAAUAAGGACACAAAUUAAGAAAUAUAAAAACAUGAGGGUCAGGUAAAUAGAAGCUAAAGAGAAGGAAAUGAAGCUCCUUUGCCUGGAUGGUGGGACCUCCAGGAAGAAGACCAUGCCAGGACUAAAGACCAACUGGUCCAUCCUGAUGCUGGCAGGUAGCAUCUCCAGCAUAUGGUGGCAAUGAUGUGUUUGAGCCUUGCGAAUGAAACUUUCCAACUCUGGUGGGUCACAGGAAGGCUACCAGUUUCAUCUGUUAGCCAGUGAAGCGGAGGUGGAAGGGACUGUGGAGUGCAGAAAGCAGAACUGUAGCUGCCCCACUGUGGGGCGUGAGGUAUAACUGAAGGAAUCAGUUUACUGUGGAGAGCUAAUCUAUUAUACAGGGGAGUUGGGGGACUCUGUGGUCAUCAGGGUGAUGCAGUUGACUUCUGAUAUGUGAAGCACUGUAGGUGAUGUUUGCGUGAUCUUUAUAUAAUGGAAAAAAGACAGUCUUGUGAGGAUAUAUACUACAUAUUACAUGGUAAUUUUAGCUGCAUGACAUUCAGGGGCAGGAGAUGAACCACUACUAUGGAAACAGUUGUAAAACAGGUGACUGAUGGGAGUUAGCACAGAAUGAGGGUAGACUAGGCAGAGCACAGGAUUUUUAUUUAGAGUACUGAGCCUGUUAUCCACGACACUGAUUAACAGUUGUGUAGACUCUUAGAGUAUACAACACUAAUAGUGAAUGCUCAUAUAACUCUGAACGUUGGGUAAUAAAGAGCUCUAUGAGUGAGCAUGGUGGCUCACGUCUGUAACCUCAGCAGUCAGGCUGAUGACUGCAAAUUCCAGGCUAGCCUGGGCUACAUAAUGAGAGCUUGGCAGCAGUAGGUUUGACACUUUAGAGAGAUCUGCAUGUGUGCAGUUGGGUAGGUAUGUGAAACCUCUACCGGCUGCUCCUUUUUGUUAUGUACUGAAUGUUUCUCUUAAAACUUAAUCCACUUAAAAGGAAAAGCAGAAACCUCAACAAAGACAGCUGCCCCCUUUUAGAACACUCCAGUAGGGGAGGUAACAGUUUGAUAAGCUCCAGAGUUAGGUGAGCUGCUGAGGUGGUCUCUCAACCUGAGUGUUCUGUAUUCUGUAUUUUGUGACAGUUCGCCCAAGUGUCCACUUGGGUGUGUAUACUGGGGGGAAGAGGGCAUUAGGUAACAUGCUUAAAAGAAACUUAAAAUGAAACAAAAAGAAUUUAAGCAGAGGCUGGGCGUGGGGGACCACACCUUUAAUCCCAACACUCAGGAGGCAGAGGCAGGUCAGUCUCUGGGAGUUCAAGGUCAGCCUGGUCUACAUAGUGAGUUCCAGGACAGCCAGGGCUACACAGAGACACGGUGUCUUUCAAACUAACAAUAAAACCCAAAACUUAAGCAGGUCACUGUCUCUGGUCCUGAGGCGUCUAGGUUUGGCAUAACUUGGCCAGCCAAAAUCGGUCAGCUCUUUACUAUCUAACUUGCUGCUUACAGAAGACACUACAUUUUUUACUUGAAGGUACUAGGGAUUAAACUUAGGCAAUCACUCUGACAUGGAGCUCUUCUCACAGCCCUCCCUCCCUCCGGAAGUAUAUGGAAGUCUUCCUGCUUCCUUAUUGGUUCCUUAUUGGUUCACAAUCCCACAGAACUCUUCAGACUGUAGAUUCUACUACCCCCAGGUCGCCUCCUGAAGGUCUGCCUGCUCAGGUCAUGGGUACUCUGAUAGAGACGUGGAGUAUUAACAUCACAGAUACACAUAAACUAAUGGGAAGGAGCUCCCUCUGAAAACCCACAGCGGACAGCUACCAUGGUAACAUCAAAUUUGCUCUGAUUUCUUCUGUAUCUGAGUGUAGAUCAGGGCACGCCAAAUGAAGGCCACGUGCUGGCAGCCUGAUUACCUGUCUGUGAAACGAGCCUCAGGAAAUGUCCCUACUCCAGCUGUGGUUCAGUCCUUCUGAAGUCACCAUUGCUAAAGGAAGAAAUAACAAGUGGCCCACAAUACUGGUUCAAAUCCCAGGAAAAAUGUGGCUUUUCACUCAUAAAUCAAGGAGAGUAACAAAGUAUGACUUAUGUUUGUUGAGGAGGACUUAGCAUAUUUUAAAUACUUUCCUGACAGAAGUCCCAUGAAAAUGCAGGGAAUAUGGCAAUCUCUCUUGUUAAGAUAUAUGAACUGGAGAGCAAUUCAUUUAGAAAAUACUUUAUCACAUGUAUGCUGGAGUUAUUCCACUUAAAUAGGCAACUUUGGGAACCUGAAUCUCAUUCUAAACACCAGUGCUCUACUUUUGAAUGUGUGUUUGUCUGUUUCUCUAGGAAGCAACAGACUACCAUAUAUAAUUUAAAAUGGCCAUUUCCUUCUCAUGAAAGUGAUUAAAAUGUUGCAUUUGAAAUAUUCCAUUUUUUUAAAGAAUAAAAAAAAAUGAUAAAAUAGGUUUUUUUUUUUUUAAUUUUGAAAAAUGGCUUACUGGUAGUUUGGAAAAACUGGAGUAGUUCUAACUGCUGAUACCCAGAACAUGCCCAGUGAGAGGACACGCUCUUAGGCCAAGGCCUAGAACUAGUUCAGAUGCUGCCAGCCUUGAGAUGAUGGAACUCACCUCAGGGGAGUGGCCCGGGCAUGACAGUGACCUCAUUUCCCAUUCUUCCUGACCAGAGAGCACAGGCAUGCUAAAAAGUAACCAUUCUGCUAAGUCCUCAGUCAGGACAAGCUCCGCCUCUCAAGGCAGCCAAAGGGCUACUGGUUUGUAAUCACAAAUGAAAAUCUUUUCUCCACGUGGAUAUUUUAAUGAGGGGGGAAAGUAAGCAAAAUAAUUGAGAUUGUAUGGUUUAGUAGAAAUGAAUCAUCAAUUUGUUUACAGUCACCUAACCCUUUGACAUUGCUGUUUCUAGUGCUGUGGGCUUCCAGUUCCGCUCACUUCUGUCUUGGGGGGCUUUUAUAUAAUCCUGAGUGAGUGGUAACCACAGUUAAAGAAACCAGUAUAAAAACUGGGCAGUGUUCUCUUCUUUUUUCUUUUGUACUUUUUCAAGACAGGGUUUCUCUGAUUGACCUCUAACUGGCUCUGUAGACCAGGCUGGCCUCAAAUUCUGAGAUUGGCCUCCUUCUGCUUUCUGAGUGUGGGGAUUAAAGGGCUGUGUAUUUUCAAAGAGCUAGUCCAGUGAGUCUUCUGUAGGAGGCAUUUCUGUGGGUGUCUUCCAUAGGAGUCUAAAAGACAUGCCUGGAUGUUGAUGUUAAGGUUUAGUCCUUUUGUCAGAGAAAUAAAAUAAAUCCUCUCCAAAUAUGUUUUAAAAGUGGGGGAGGGGGGCUGGCUUAUGAAAUACUUUGAAGUAAACCUUUCUGUGCUAUCCCUCCAUUCCUGCCCCUAGUUACGCAUCUUCUCAGCUGUCACCUGGGUCCCAGUGGAGAAAGAAGGGCAAAGCGCCAUGUGUCUCUAAUUUGCUCCUGGGAAUUGGGGACAUGGGGUCAGGUGACACACAAGGCCUUGGGUUUGAUUCCCCAACACUUUAAAAAAGUAGACAGCUUAAAUAAAAUCAAAUGAACAAUAUUUACCUAUCUGGAUUUGAAAAAUCAUACUUUAUUUUAUAUCUACUAUAAUAAGCUUGAAACUAUAAGACGUGAAUGAUUUUAAAGUAAUUUUCAUUUGUUCUACUUAAAUGACAAGCAUUAAAAAAAAGGCUUUGGCCAGGUGUGGUGGCACACGCCUUUAAUCCCAGCACUUGGGAGGCAGAGGCAGGCGGAUCUCUGAGUUUGAGGACAGCCUGGUCUACAGAGUAAGUUCCAGGACAGCCAGGGCUAUACAGAGAAACCCUGUCUCGGAAAACCAAAAAAAAAAAAAAAAAAAGAAAAAAGGAAAAAGGGCUUUAAACUUUUUCCUUUCCUGAGUGGCUUGACUCCUUGAGCAUAAAGGAUCUGACACAGUGAAAUGAAGACUAUAAAACGAUGUCUCUCAAAGCAAUGGAUCCAUAAUCCAGUAGAGGUCUCUGUUAGAAUUAGCCAGUGGAAUGGAACACCUAAGUCUAAUUUAAUGUCUUUGGGUUCAAAGAUCGCAUUCCUACCACUCCAAAUAAAGGCAAUUCUGUGCCUAAUGACAAUUCUGUACCAGAGACUGCUCAGACAUGGGUUUAAGCCAAGAGAAAGUCUUGAGUAAGCUGGCUAGUGACUGCACUGGCGUUUGGAAUCCCAGGGCAUGUCUGAGUCUUUCUCAGAGUGAGCCUUUGAACACGAAACCCAAGUCCUAGGUUGACAUACUUCAGUUAACAGGAAGAGUCAGCUAGAAGCAGAACGACAGGAAUCAAAAAGCCUGGUUAGGACAUUUAGAGACCUUCCAAGAACUAUGGGCUUUGAUGGGUUAGGCCUUUGUUUUUGUUUUUUGGUGCGUGGCACUGUUACAUGCUGCGUUCUUACAGCUUGAUCGGUAUUUCGGUAUGUUGUGAGUCACACUGAGGUCUCGGGGUCCUGUCACACAGACCUUCCUAUAAAAAAUAUUAAAAAUAUAUUAAGAGACAAAUACAGCUUGCCUGCCUUGGGGUAGGGUGGGAGGUGUAAAUGAAAACUCCCGGAAACAUUUAAAACAGAUGCUGUAACUGUCAUCAGAGUUUUCUGAGGUUCCUUUAUAUUACUUCCCUUGUUCUGAUUCCUCCCCUGCUGGGUUCAAGUCAAAGGACACCAAAGCCAUCAAACACCAUUUCCAGUGUUGGGUGCCUGUGGGCAGCUCAUCUUGAGAGACAGAAAUGAGCAGCGACCCUGUGCAGGGAAUCAGCAGUCAUUGACCGGCCCCCAGCUCCAAGACUGCAUCGCCGCAAUGACAGCUCCAUGGCAGAAAUCUGACGUAAUUCUCUGCGACACAGUUUGACAGGCUUGACCCCCUGAAGCGGUCCUAUACUUCUCACAGGCUGGAACUGGUGUGGUACUGGACUCUGAGAGUGUGUAAAGGGACGGGCCUCUGUUUUAUCGGCAAUGCUCUGCAGUUGGCCACUGGAGGGCGCUAUCGAGCUACGGGCUGGAAUUCUAGAUGCCCAUUUUAGUUCUUCAGAAAGCACAGUCGUCUCUUCUGGAUUCAGAACUCCAUCUCCAGCAUCAUGAUCUACAGAGAACCGGACACAAGACAAAACAAGCAAACACCGUCUUCUGAAAAUCAGGUUGCUUCUUUGAAACUGCCUUAGGUCACGUCAGCUCUGUGUUCCUGAGCGUUAAGGCUGAGCGGCUACACUGAAGCUGAAACAGACCCAGCCAGCAGUGACAGAGGUGCCUCUGUCUGGGCACUAGCAUGCUCUCAGGAGUUGUUUAGACUUCCAGCCCUCCUCUUCUCCAGUUCACGAAACAGCUUCUUGUUCUAGUCUUCGUAUCUGCCAGUUCCUUUUUUCCUUCAGUUGAAGUGCUUGUUUUAAAUAUUGGUGGAAUAUUCAAGAGGUCACAGCUUACAAGUGGGCAGAGCGAUGAGUCAGCAGUUAAGCGCACUUCCUGUGGGACAGAGGCCGAGAUGGUGAAGCCGGAAGUGCUGCAGCCCAAGAAGGAUGUGUUCUGAGUGCUCCAGGAUACGAAAACCCAGUUAGCGAUGAGCCAAAUCCUGGGGAGGAGGCUCUUCUCCUGAAGCAGGGCUUCCUUCUUCGAGACGAUGGCCUCACGUUUCUUCAGAUCUUCCUCCAGCAUUUCCAGUUCCUGGCGCUGGCUCAGGACCUUCUCCACCUCUUCAUCCAACCACUUCCUUUGCUCAUCCAAUUUCUAUGUUUAAAGAAAUACUGUGACUUGUUUCUCCUCUUACCAUAAAAAUCACAUCAUUUAAGUGGCUAAAAUCUUUAAAAUAAACAGUAAAACUAUCAGAGCAA
Molecule: long non-coding RNA, 11977 nt
Organism: Mus musculus (house mouse)
Lineage: Eukaryota; Metazoa; Chordata; Mammalia; Rodentia; Muridae
Product: predicted gene, 26555
Exons: 11
Source: RefSeq, a predicted model, not a curated record